Molecule: ribosomal RNA, 243 nt
Filed under: Triticum aestivum (bread wheat)
Lineage: Eukaryota; Viridiplantae; Streptophyta; Magnoliopsida; Poales; Poaceae
Description: partial small subunit ribosomal RNA
Source: RNAcentral
AUGGGAGGUCUUGAGCAAGCACAACAACAAGGGCGACACCGACACCACCAUACCACCGUUGAAUCAUCCGGCCGCACCAUCGCCACCAACAUUCCGCAGCAAGCACCACCUACACAUCAACCAAGAGGACCCCAAGAUGAUGCCUUCGAGAAGGACCACGACACCAGUGCACCGCCAUCAUCCGCACCGGGAGUACCUGGGCUAGGGGUUUCCCUCGAGGUCUCAACUUCCAUCGUCAUCUGA